UCUGCAGUGAUGAGCCUCUAACAUGUAAGAAAAACCUUCUUUGGAGGAUUUUUUUCAGUGAAAUACACUUGUUACGCUUGGCUUCUGAGCAUU
Molecule: small nucleolar RNA, 93 nt
Organism: Ziziphus jujuba (common jujube)
Lineage: Eukaryota; Viridiplantae; Streptophyta; Magnoliopsida; Rosales; Rhamnaceae
Product: small nucleolar RNA R24
Exons: 1
Source: RefSeq, a predicted model, not a curated record